GACGAACGCUGGCGGCGUGCCUAACACAUGCAAGUCGAACGAGAAUCUUUGGAAUGAUUCUUUCGGGAUGAAUUCUAAAGAGGAAAGUGGCGGACGGGCGAGUAACGCGUGAGUAACCUGCCCAUAAGAGGGGGAUAAUCCAUGGAAACGUGGACUAAUACCGCAUAUUGUAGUUAAGUUGCAUGACUUGAUUAUGAAAGAUUUAUCGCUUAUGGAUGGACUCGCGUCAGAUUAGAUAGUUGGUGAGGUAACGACUCACCAAGUCAACGAUCUGUAGCCGAACUGAGAGGUUGAUCGGCCGCAUUGGGACUGAGACACGGCCCAGACUCCUACGGGAGGCAGCAGUGGGGAAUAUUGCGCAAUGGGGGCAACCCUGACGCAGCAACGCCGCGUGCAGGAAGAAGGUCUUCGGAUUGUAAACUGUUGUCGCAAGGGAAGAAGAC
This 443-nucleotide ribosomal RNA is filed under the name uncultured bacterium. Its description in RNAcentral is "bacterial SSU rRNA". It matches the Rfam family "Bacterial small subunit ribosomal RNA", at positions 28 to 452 of the family's 1533-position model. The record is from RNAcentral.